RNAcentral lists this non-coding RNA (31 nucleotides) under unclassified sequences. RNAcentral describes it as "S4-Bacteroidia ribosomal protein leader". It matches the Rfam family "S4-Bacteroidia ribosomal protein leader". The record is from RNAcentral.
GAUUGCAAUACCCUCUCUGUAAUCGCGGCUG